RNAcentral lists this transfer RNA (69 nucleotides) under Bos taurus (domestic cattle). It matches the Rfam family "tRNA". Rfam says of the family: Transfer RNA (tRNA) molecules are approximately 80 nucleotides in length. Lineage: Eukaryota; Metazoa; Chordata; Mammalia; Artiodactyla; Bovidae. The record is from Rfam by way of RNAcentral. RNAcentral also lists the same sequence under 2 other names.
CCUGGUGGCUCAGAUGAUAGAGAGUCUGCCUGCAGUGCAGGAGACCCAGGUUCAAUCCCUGGGUCAGGA